UGCCAACGUUAAUGUAAACUCACUUGGCAAUGCUUAUUCCCUUCUGACUUUAUUUAACAGCUUUGAGCAGCUGCCCUGGAACCUGGAAUCUGCUACGAGUGGACAACCAACUCCCUAGUUAAAAAAAUUAAAGGAGAGAAAAAACCCUUCUCGGCCGCCGCUCUUGAGAGCACAGGGAUGUAGAGUUUGUCUGCACUGGCGAGCAGCUUUCUCUAGGGGGGUAUGAAACAUGCUGGAGCCCAUUAGGAGUCGACGGCCACCAUGUUAAGCAUGCGGAAGGUGGCCUCCUCCCUAAUGAUGUAAAUGCUUGCCGACAGCAUCCCCGCACACAGCUUGCAUGAUGAAUCACACAGUCCGGGUAAACGGUCCGGUCUGGCACUGUGCCAGCUUGCCAGCAUGCUAUUUUCUGCAAAGACUGCCAGGCUGCGUCCCGUUAAAUGCCCAUUGACGCAGAAUGGAACAAGGAUAAGCGGUUUGACAAUGGAUGGAUGGAUGGAUGAAAAUUUUCUCAAAAUGCAUGUUUAAAUAUGGAAAUGAGCA
This is a non-coding RNA of Gasterosteus aculeatus aculeatus (three-spined stickleback), 540 nucleotides long. The record is from RefSeq and is a predicted model, not a curated record. NCBI's taxonomy places the organism in Eukaryota, Metazoa, Chordata, Actinopteri, Perciformes, Gasterosteidae.